RNAcentral lists this transfer RNA (72 nucleotides) under Trichonephila clavata. It matches the Rfam family "tRNA". From Rfam's summary of the family: Transfer RNA (tRNA) molecules are approximately 80 nucleotides in length. Their secondary structure includes four short double-helical elements and three loops (D, anti-codon, and T loops). The record is from Rfam by way of RNAcentral. Lineage: Eukaryota; Metazoa; Arthropoda; Arachnida; Araneae; Nephilidae.
GCCCUCGUGGCCUAAUGGAUAAGGCAUCGGUCUCCUAAUCCGGGAAUGCGGGUUCGAAUCCCGCCGAGGGUA